Molecule: ribosomal RNA, 407 nt
Filed under: uncultured bacterium
Lineage: Bacteria
Description: partial 16S ribosomal RNA
Rfam family: Bacterial small subunit ribosomal RNA
Source: RNAcentral
AUUGAACGCUGGCGGCAGGCUUAACACAUGCAAGUCGAGCGGAGCGGCGGACGGGUGCGUAAUGCCUAGGAAUCUGCCUGGUAGUGGGGGAUAACGUCAGGAAACGGGAGCUAAUACCGCAUCCUCUCAGAUGAGCCUAGGCCGGAUUAGCUCGUUGGUGGGGUAAAGGGCUACCACGGCGACGAUCCGUAACUGGUCUGAGAGGAUGAUCAGUCACACUGGAACUGAGACACGGUCCAGACUCCUACGGGAGGCAGCAGUGGGGAAUAUUGGACAAUGGGCGAAAGCCUGAUCCAGCCAUGCCGCGUGUGUGAAGAAGGUCUUCGGAUUGUAAAGCACUUUAAGUUAGGAGGCGUUACCAACAGAAUAAGCACCGGCUAACUUCGUGCCAGCCGCCGCGGUAAUAC